Small nucleolar RNA from Heteronotia binoei (common prickly gecko), 133 nucleotides. RefSeq annotates it as small nucleolar RNA SNORA5. The transcript has a single exon. The record is from RefSeq and is a predicted model, not a curated record. Lineage: Eukaryota; Metazoa; Chordata; Lepidosauria; Squamata; Gekkonidae.
UGCAACUUUCAAGUUCAUUGCUCACUUUCACCAUGGUGAGGAUUGGUCCAGACAGUUGCCACAGUAAAAAUCUGUAGCUCAUGGGCCUCCAAACUCUUUGUGGGCUCCAGGGAUAGUUUUGCUACACACACCC